UACGUAGGGGGCUAGCGUUGUCCGGAUUUAUUGGGCGUAAAGAGCGUGUAGGCGGCCAGGUAGGUCUGCUGUGAAAACCCGAGGCUUAACCUCGAGAUGUCGGCGGAAACCAUCUGGCUAGAGUCCGGAAGAGGAGAGUGGAAUUCCUGGUGUAGCGGUGAAAUGCGCAGAUAUCAGGAAGAACACCGAUGGCGAAGGCAGUGGGCUGGGCCGGCACUCACGCUGAGGAGCGAAAGCGUGGGGAGCGAACAGG
Molecule: ribosomal RNA, 253 nt
Filed under: uncultured bacterium
Lineage: Bacteria
Description: partial 16S ribosomal RNA
Rfam family: Bacterial small subunit ribosomal RNA
Source: RNAcentral